Molecule: unclassified non-coding RNA, 263 nt
Filed under: plant metagenome
Description: partial contains small subunit ribosomal RNA, internal transcribed spacer 1, and 5.8S ribosomal RNA
Source: RNAcentral
UUUCCGUAGGUGAACCUGCGGAAGGAUCAUUAUUGGUCAACCGAGGUGCGAGGGCUGUCGCUGACCCGAAAUGUCGUGCACGCCCGAGUGCCCUCACACACAUCCAUCUCACCCCUAUGUGCACCACCGCGUGGGUCCCCCUUUGGCUUGUUCGGAGGGGGGCUUACGUUUUCACACAAACUUUGUAUGCAGUGUAGAAUGUAUUUUUUGUUUUUGCGAUCACGCAAUCAAUACAACUUUCAACAACGGAUCUCUUGGCUCUC